CCCGGGCUAAACCCAGCGGACGGUGGCGCACAGCCGCGUCUCGGCCUCGGGCCUCGGCGUUUCGUCCCUGCUUCCAACACGCCUCGAUCCAGAUCCAGAUCCAGUCCAGGCAAUCCCUUGCGGUCUCCCCCCGAGACUAUUCCAUACAUUCGCCCGUAGCGGUAGAGGCGCCCGCCGCCUCGUCCUCGACUCCCUCGUCGUCCUCGCUCGUCCGCCGCUUGGGGUGCAGACUCCGGUUCCUAGAAGCGCAGCAUGGCCAAGCUCAAGCCAAAGGCGUUGCUGGCACAAAGCAAAGUGAAGAAGGGCCCCAGCCAAAUCAGUGUGGCCACGAUCUUCACUUACUUGGUCCUUGGCGCCGUAGUCGUGUCCUCUGUUUAUGCUGCUUACAAAUACUGGGUAGGCAAAGGACCAGCAGUGACAGCAGCAGGCGUCGAGGGGAAUUAAACCCCAAACUAUGUAACUGAUUUUGUUGUUGUAUCAUCCAGUUGGAUAAUUUUGGUGCUGCAGCCCAGUAAAAGGAACAUGGAUAGAUUGUAUCUUGCUACAGUUUUAUUGUAAACCGUGGGUACAUUAUAUUGAUAUAUGUAUGCUAAAUUCCUUUCUUCGA
Long non-coding RNA from Panicum hallii, 607 nucleotides. RefSeq lists it as uncharacterized. Lineage: Eukaryota; Viridiplantae; Streptophyta; Magnoliopsida; Poales; Poaceae. The record is from RefSeq and is a predicted model, not a curated record. The transcript has 2 exons.